Molecule: long non-coding RNA, 307 nt
Organism: Oncorhynchus masou masou (cherry salmon)
Lineage: Eukaryota; Metazoa; Chordata; Actinopteri; Salmoniformes; Salmonidae
Exons: 3
Source: RefSeq, a predicted model, not a curated record
CAGGCUCGUGUCAGAGGUCGCGGUCAUUCCUGGAGGUUCUGGGAAAGGUCAAGCCUCUCCUGGUCAUCCUUCACUCAUGGAGAAGUGCUGCCUAGGUCCCAACUCCCCAACAGACCCCACUUAGCAGGUGUAGUGUCUGAAAGAUCCUGUUCUGGACCCAGACCACCAACAACACUUCAGCUCCCUUUGGGCAGUGCUGUGAAUACCAAUGCAACUAAUAUUCCUGUGACCAGGGCUCUCAAACUGGCAGUAAGAUGCAUUUCUAUACUGUAUUUCAUUACUGACCGCUAAACAGUCAAACAGCUGA